CUGAAACUCUACACAACAAAGAGCCAGGGUUCCCUGGUCUCCGAGGAGAACAAGGUCCAAAAGGAAACCUAGGCCUCAAAGGAAUAAAAGGAGACUCAGGUUUCUGUGCUUGUGACGGUGGUGUUCCCAACACUGGACCACCCGGGGAACCAGGCCCACCUGGUCCAUGGGGUCUCAUAGGCCUUCCAGGCCUUAAAGGAGCCAGAGGAGAUCGAGGCUCUGGGGGUGCACAGGGCCCAGCAGGGGCUCCAGGCUUAGUUGGGCCUCUGGGUCCUUCAGGACCCAAAGGAAAGAAGGGGGAACCAAUUCUCAGUACAAUCCAAGGAAUGCCAGGAGAUCGGGGUGAUUCUGGCUCCCAGGGCUUCCGUGGUGUAAUAGGAGAACCAGGCAAAGACGGAGUACCAGGUUUACCAGGUCUGCCAGGCCUUCCGGGUGAUGGUGGACAGGGCUUCCCAGGUGAAAAGGGGUUACCUGGACUUCCUGGUGAAAAAGGCCAUCCUGGUCCACCUGGCCUCCCAGGAAAUGGGUUACCAGGACUUCCUGGACCCCGUGGGCUUCCUGGAGAUAAAGGCAAGGAUGGAUUACCGGGACAACAAGGCCUUCCCGGAUCUAAGGGAAUCACCCUGCCCUGUAUUAUUCCUGGGUCAUACGGUCCAUCAGGAUUUCCAGGCACUCCCGGAUUCCCAGGCCCUAAAGGGUCUCGAGGCCUCCCUGGGACCCCAGGCCAGCCUGGGUCAAGUGGAACUAAAGGAGAGCCAGGGAGUCCAGGAUUGGUUCAUCUUCCUGAAUUACCAGGAUUUCCUGGACCUCGUGGGGAGAAGGGCUUGCCUGGGUUUCCUGGGCUCCCUGGAAAAGAUGGCUUGCCUGGGAUGAUUGGCAGUCCAGGCUUACCUGGUUCCAAGGGAGCCACUGGUGACAUCUUUGGUGCUGAAAAUGGUGCUCCGGGGGAACAAGGCCUACAAGGAUUAACAGGGCACAAAGGAUUUCUUGGAGACUCUGGCCUUCCAGGACUCAAGGGUGUGCACGGGAAGCCUGGCUUACUAGGCCCCAAAGGUGAGCGGGGCAGCCCUGGGACACCAGGACAGGUGGGACAGCCAGGCACUCCAGGAUCUAGUGGUCCAUAUGGCAUCAAGGGCAAAUCUGGGCUCCCAGGAGCACCAGGCUUCCCAGGCAUCUCAGGACAUCCUGGAAAGAAAGGAACAAGAGGCAAGAAAGGUCCUCCUGGAUCAAUUGUAAAGAAAGGGCUGCCAGGGCUAAAAGGCCUUCCUGGAAAUCCAGGCCUAGUAGGACUGAAAGGAAGCCCAGGCUCUCCAGGGGUCGCUGGGUUGCCAGCCCUCUCUGGACCCAAGGGAGAGAAGGGGUCUGUUGGAUUCGUAGGUUUUCCAGGAAUACCAGGUCUGCCUGGUAUUCCUGGAACAAGAGGAUUAAAGGGAAUUCCAGGAUCAACUGGAAAAAUGGGACCAUCUGGACGCGCUGGUACUCCUGGUGAAAAGGGAGACAGAGGCAAUCCGGGGCCAGUCGGAAUACCUAGUCCAAGACGUCCAAUGUCAAACCUUUGGCUCAAAGGAGACAAAGGCUCUCAAGGCUCAGCCGGAUCCAAUGGAUUUCCUGGGCCAAGAGGUGACAAAGGAGAGGCUGGUCGACCUGGGCCACCAGGCCUACCUGGAGCUCCUGGCCUCCCAGGCAUUAUCAAAGGAGUUAGUGGAAAGCCAGGGCCCCCUGGCUUCAUGGGAAUCCGGGGCUUACCUGGC
Molecule: long non-coding RNA, 1751 nt
Filed under: Pan troglodytes (chimpanzee)
Lineage: Eukaryota; Metazoa; Chordata; Mammalia; Primates; Hominidae
Description: long non-coding RNA NONPTRT018512
Source: RNAcentral